This 250-nucleotide ribosomal RNA is filed under the name uncultured bacterium. Its description in RNAcentral is "partial 16S ribosomal RNA". It matches the Rfam family "Bacterial small subunit ribosomal RNA", at positions 524 to 773 of the family's 1533-position model. The record is from RNAcentral.
UACGUAGGGGGCGAGCGUUGUCCGGAUUUACUGGGCGUAAAGGGAGCGUAGGCGGACGCUUAAGUGAGAUGUGAAAUACCCGAGCUCAACUUGGGUGCUGCAUUUCAAACUGGGUGUCUAGAGUGCAGGAGAGGAAAGUGGAAUUCCUAGUGUAGCGGUGAAAUGCGUAGAGAUUAGGAAGAACACCAGUGGCGAAGGCGACUUUCUGGACUGUAACUGACGCUGAGGCUCGAAAGCGUGGGGAGCAAAC